This 251-nucleotide long non-coding RNA is filed under the name Terrapene triunguis (Three-toed box turtle). Its description in RNAcentral is "Terrapene carolina triunguis (Three-toed box turtle) lncRNA (ENSTMTG00000011205.1)". Lineage: Eukaryota; Metazoa; Chordata; Testudines; Emydidae. The record is from RNAcentral.
CUCUGUUUCCGGGUCAUAGGGGCAUUUCCUGUUGCCUGGCGGCGGCUCCCCCCGGACCCUCGACUGUGCAGUGAAUGUCCACAAGAACUGCAAGACCUUACUGGCUGAAUGCAGCAGUACCAGACCCAAGCAGAAGGAUUUGCAACACAGACCUCCUGGAUCCCCACAAAGUUCACCCCAGUGCUUUUACCCAGCAGCCUCUCUGAAGGAGCAGCCCCAAAGUGCCCUUCUGGGAUCGGAUGGCACCCCAG